This is a long non-coding RNA of Salvelinus fontinalis (brook trout), 651 nucleotides long. RefSeq lists it as uncharacterized. The record is from RefSeq and is a predicted model, not a curated record. The transcript is spliced from 2 exons. Lineage: Eukaryota; Metazoa; Chordata; Actinopteri; Salmoniformes; Salmonidae.
UGUGCGACUGCGCAGAGGUCGUUCGUCACACUUUCGCUUAACACAGUAAUGUCGUCAACUAGUUAGCUAGCUGGGUACGAAUUAAAUAAUUUUACUCUAAUAAUGUCGGUCUAUCACGACGAAGUUGAGAUCGAGGACUUUGAAUAUGACGAGGAUGAAGAGACAUACUAUUUUCCGUGCCCAUGUGGCGACAGAUUUGCCAUAACCAAAGUAAGUACAGCGUGAGAAGAUCCCCUGCGAGCCACGUCGUGACAAGGAGGAAUUUAUGUCUGGGGAGAUAAUCGAAGCACCAACUACAGAGAGCAGAUUGGAACUGGCUCAGUCGUCCUGACAGAGAUGACACACCUCUUCAGUUUCUCAUCUCCCAUCAGUAAAAGUGGACCCUGUUGCAUUUGUAUGUGCUUCCACACAACACAAAGACACAUUAUGAACGAUAUGCUUCACUGGUGAGGUCUGGGAUGGAGAAUUCUCAGAAUUCAUUCACAUGUUCCUGGCAUUGAUUUUGCAGAGUUACAUAAAGGACCCAAACUACUACCAUUUGCACAACGUAUUUAAAUAAAUCCUUUAUUCUUUUAAGUCUUUCACUCCCUUUUUUAUAAACAUGUUAUGCAUUUUUGUUGAUUACUCAAGAUUAAAUCUGGAUGAAGUGAA